RNAcentral lists this long non-coding RNA (1732 nucleotides) under Olea europaea subsp. europaea. The record is from RNAcentral. Lineage: Eukaryota; Viridiplantae; Streptophyta; Magnoliopsida; Lamiales; Oleaceae.
UGGCAUAAAGAUAUUACAAAAAGAUAAACUUGAACAUCAUUCUGGAACAAAUAACAGAAAACUAAGAAAUUGAAAGAAUGUUUACCAAGAAACGUGGAUUUUAACAAAGAUAUUGCUUGUGUGUGCUUCACUGUUGUCCAGUUAAAAUCAUAACAUUUUGCACAAGAAACGUGGGUUUUAACAUUCUUCACAAAUCAUAACUUCGAAGCUUCGAACAAGAACAAUGGAUUUUAACACUGUCUAGCUACAUUGAACUGCCAAAACAAUUUUACACAACAAUAGAACACAAAAGAUGUAAUUGCCUAAAUCUCCAUGUGAUAGGCCAUUCGAUUAAUUCCUGCUACUCAUGCUGGCCCCUUUCCUUUGGCCUUUCCUUCCGCGCUACCAUUCACUUUGCUAAUUGUCACGGUCAUCAAAAUUUGUAGUUCUUCAUCAUUGAGACGAACUCGAGAGAUUGGAACAUGUGUUCCUUAUUUUCAACUCUUUCGUUCGUCCAUUCUAUGAGGGGAACAUGCGCUCCAUAUCUUCAUGCUGACCCCUUAGCUAUACAACUACGACAAAUUCCAUAAUUUUGUCCGCCCACUCUACAAGGAGAAUAAACCACAGAUCACGGUCAAUUCAAAUAAAUAAGUAGAGGUAAAACACGCAUUAAUGAUCCAAUUGGAACUUGAAACUCUAAAAGAGUAAUCACACAUCAUAUAAGCCAAUUAAAAUUCAUUUUAAGAAAUCAAGAAACAGAGAAGCUCAUUUAGUGGAAGAGUAUUUUAAUGUUUUAAAUUUGUUCGGCAGGUGGUGGAAUACGAACAUACAAUUAAGCACAACAUAGGGGACCUUCAUCAACAUGUCCGUAAUAUGAAAACAAAUUAAAGUACGCCUUGAGAAUUUUCAAUUCAGUAUAAGCCUUCCAUUACGUACAAAAACAAUACCAUUUACUAAAAUUGGAAAAGGGAGAAAAUUAGAACUUCCCCUUAGGUUUGAAUCUGCAAAAUUGUUAAAACACAAUUUGUAUCAAUAAAGCCAGUAAGAAAAUGAUUGUUAUUGAGAUUAUGCGUUUUUUCAAUACGUUUAUUCAUCAACACGACAAAAGAAAACUACGCUGCAAUGAAUAAUUGAAUAACAGUAAAGUGAGAGAGAGACGAGCAUAACCUGUAAAGUAUGAGAGGCUAAAAUAGGGGAGAAAAAAUUAAUUCAAACCACGAGAAGCACCACCGUUUCUUUUCGUCUAUAUGAAAUUAUGACUACAACGAUAGAUUAGUUUUCACACAGUGUUCUAGCAUGCGGCCGGAGAUAAAGCGGGAGGUGGUGAAACCAUGGCCCGAAGUGCGGCCAAAGCUGAGGCAAAACCUUUGGUUGAAGUGCGGUCGGAGAAUGUGAACCGUCCAGUGGUGAAACAGUCGACGAAAUUGCUGCCGAAGCCACGAAGAUAUCUCCGAUUGCAGGGCUGCCGGAGAUGGUGAGGCGACGACACAGUACGGACUCUGAUUUUCGAUUUUGGGAGAAACGUGGGUUGUGGGUCACGGUUGGUGUAGACAGAUUUGGGGAAGACAGCUGCGUUUUUCUUUGGUUUUCUAUAUUUGGUGUUCUUUAAAGUGCCACGUCAGCCUGGACUCAACCCUGUUUUCUACCCUGUGCGUGUAGCGGAAUUGUAACAUAUUUUGCUUUAAGUUCUACAGCUCAGCUCUGUCCUGACAGAAUUGUUUAUCCUGCGGAUCAUUGAAGUAAUGAAGUAGAA